UCAGGAUGAACGCUGGCGGCGUGCUUAACACAUGCAAGUCGAACGGAACUUUCUCCCGAACGAAGCGGAGUGCUUGCACAAAGUGGAUUCAUUUGAAAAGUUAGUGGCGGACGGGUGAGUAACGCGUGGGUAACCUGCCGUAUGCUGGGGGACAACAGUUGGAAACGACUGCUAAUACCGCAUAAGCGCACACUAUCGCAUGAUAGAGUGUGAAAAAACUCCGGUGGCAUACGAUGGACCCGCGUCUGAUUAGCUAGUUGGUGAGGUAGCGGCCCACCAAGGCGACGAUCAGUAGCCGGCCUGAGAGGGUGAACGGCCACAUUGGGACUGAGACACGGCCCAAACUCCUACGGGAGGCAGCAGUGGGGAAUAUUGCACAAUGGGGGAAACCCUGAUGCAAGCGACGCCGCGUGAGUGAAGAAGUAUUUCGGUAUGUAAAGCUCUAUCAGCAAGGAAGAAAAAUGACGGUACUUGACUAAGAAGCCCCGGCUAACUACGUGCCAGCCGCAGC
This 511-nucleotide ribosomal RNA is filed under the name uncultured bacterium. RNAcentral's name for it is "bacterial SSU rRNA". It matches the Rfam family "Bacterial small subunit ribosomal RNA", at positions 24 to 518 of the family's 1533-position model. The record is from RNAcentral.